This is a long non-coding RNA of Rana temporaria (common frog), 300 nucleotides long. RefSeq lists it as uncharacterized. The transcript is spliced from 2 exons. The record is from RefSeq and is a predicted model, not a curated record. Lineage: Eukaryota; Metazoa; Chordata; Amphibia; Anura; Ranidae.
CUUCCUUCCUCCUAUUUUCCAUCCAGAGGAAUCUUCUGCGUCCUAACAGUGGUGUCCUUUUUCUGGGAUGCGCAGGGUUGAUUAAACGCUGUGAGUGAAAAGUGGUUCCUAUAUAUGUUGACUACACACAUUUCGGCCCCUGAUGAAGGGUAAUCCGAAACGCGUAGGGCCGUGUACGUCUUCAUGGACGUUACUUUUCAAUGACACCCAUCCAUGUACUGUUUUUAAACAAUUUAUAUGUAUAAUUUUCAUUUUGUAUAAUUUCUACUUUGUAUAUUAAAAUACUUCAUUUUUUGACUA